UAACGAAUAUUCCGCAAUGGGCGAAAGCCUGACGGAGCAAUGCCGCGUGUGGGAUGAAUCGGCUUCGCCGUGUAAACCACUGUCAGGGUCUCGGACCACCGACCAGACCCAAAGGAAGGGCCGGCUAAUCUCGUGCCAGCAGCCGCGGUAAUACGAGAGGCCCGAGCGUUAUUCGGAAUCACUGGGCUUAAAGCGUGCGCAGGCGGAUCGGCAGGCGUCGUGUGAAAUCCCCCGGCUCAACCGGGGAACUGCACGGCGAACCGCCGGUCUUGAGGCAGGUAGGGGCCGACGGAACUAUGGGUGGAGCGGUGAAAUGCGUAGAUAUCCAUGGGAACGCCGAUGGCGAAGGCAGUCGGCUGGGCCUGUCCUGACGCUCAGGCACGAAAGCGUGGGGAGCGAACGGGAUUAGAUACCCCCGUAGUCC
RNAcentral lists this ribosomal RNA (424 nucleotides) under uncultured prokaryote. RNAcentral describes it as "bacterial SSU rRNA". It matches the Rfam family "Bacterial small subunit ribosomal RNA", at positions 355 to 796 of the family's 1533-position model. The record is from RNAcentral.